Eptesicus fuscus (big brown bat) is the source of this 126-nucleotide small nuclear RNA. RefSeq annotates it as U4atac minor spliceosomal RNA. The transcript has a single exon. NCBI's taxonomy places the organism in Eukaryota, Metazoa, Chordata, Mammalia, Chiroptera, Vespertilionidae. The record is from RefSeq and is a predicted model, not a curated record.
ACCAUUCUUUUCUUGGGGUUGCACUACUAUCCAAUCAACGCCUAAUGAGGGGAGUACUGCUAACGCCUAAACAACACAUUUGCAUCAGGUGGAGCUCUACUUUACCUUGGUGUAAUUUUUGGAAAA